GAUCUGGCAGCAGUGGGGAAUCUUAGACAAUGGGGGCAACCCUGAUCUAGCCAUGCCGCGUGAGUGACGAAGCCUUAGGGUCGUAAAGCUCUUUCGCUGGGAAGAUAAUGACGGUACCCAGUAAAGAAACCCCGGCUAACUCCGUGCCAGCAGCCGCGGUAAUACGGAGGGGGUUAGCGUUGUUCGGAAUUACUGGGCGUAAAGCGCGCGUAGGCGGAUUGGAAAGUUGGGGGUGAAAUUCCCGGGCUCAACCCCGGAACCGCCUCCAAAACUAUCAGUCUAGAGUUCGAGAGAGGUGAGUGGAAUUCCGAGUGUAGAGGUGAAAUUCGUAGAUAUUCGGAGGAACACCAGUGGCGAAAGCGGCA
This 365-nucleotide ribosomal RNA is filed under the name uncultured Alphaproteobacteria bacterium. Its description in RNAcentral is "bacterial SSU rRNA". It matches the Rfam family "Bacterial small subunit ribosomal RNA", at positions 342 to 726 of the family's 1533-position model. Lineage: Bacteria; Pseudomonadati; Pseudomonadota; Alphaproteobacteria. The record is from RNAcentral.